This 561-nucleotide long non-coding RNA is filed under the name Heterocephalus glaber (naked mole-rat). RNAcentral's name for it is "lncRNA (ENSHGLG00100037494.1)". Lineage: Eukaryota; Metazoa; Chordata; Mammalia; Rodentia; Bathyergidae. The record is from RNAcentral.
CAGCAAGGAGGCUCCCUGAGGAACAGUCAGAGGAAGUCUUCCUACAAAAUACCUGCCAGUGAGGUACAGAUCCUGUUUAGUGCUACCUAGAAGAAAACUAGGACACUGAAAUUUGAAGACUUAAUGGAGUUUGGUGCCUUCACUUAUCUGAUGUCUAUGAAGCCUGACACUCCACUUCUCAUCUCUAAGAUCAUACUUAAGCUUCAGUGACAAGCUUCUACUCUGCUAAUGAUUUUAUGAUCUUGUUACCCAUUGUAAUUGCUUAAAUGGCAUUUUAAUUAGUUGCUUUAAAUGACUAUUUUUUAAAAGUCAUGCAGGCUUCAGUUUUAAAUAUGUAUGACUGGUGUUUCUCUAUACAAGAUGAAUGUGUUUAGUACAAAGGGAAAAGAGAAUAUUUGUAGAAGUUUUAGUCAAUCAUUUCUGUACGUCAGAUUAAUUUCUGAAGUAUGAAUAUUUCAAUAUUUUUGUGGAUGUAAUAAUGUUAUUAAAGUUUCCUUAUAUUUGUUUUGGUUCUUACACUUUUUUUGCUUAAAUUCUUUUAUUGGCACAUUUUAGGUAUGC